CUUGGUCAUUUAGAGGAAGUAAAAGUCGUAACAAGGUUUCCGUAGGUGAACCUGCGGAAGGAUCAUUAUCGAGUUCGGGGACUUAUUGUCCACGCCCUCCAACCCUUUGUCUACCUGACCAGAUGUUGCUUCGGCAGGCCCGUCGCCCCGCGAGGGGUGGCCGCCGGGGGUCCUUACCGGCCCCGGGUCCGCGCCUGUCGAUGGCCCUCUUAUAAACUCUUGCUUCAACCGUGUCGUCUGAGUAAAACAAACAAAUAAAAACAAAACUUUCAACAACGGAUCUCUUGGUUCUGGCAUCGAUGAAGAACGCAGCGAAAUGCGAUAAGUAAUGCGAAUUGCAGAAUCCGUGAGUCAUCGAAUCUUUGAACGCAUAUUGCGCCCUCUGGUAUUCCGGGGGGCAUGCCUGUUCGAGCGUCAUUAUCACCCCUCAAGCCCGGCUUGUUGUUGGAUGUGGCGGCGGCCUUUAAUGGCGUACCGCCCGUCUCAAAGAUAAUGACGGCGUCUGUGAGGACUCCUGUACACUGAGCUUUCGGGCACGUACUAGGCUGAUACUCGCAGACCCGGUCUUUAGGGCUCGCCUCGGCGGCCCAACUUUUCUAAGGUUGACCUCGGAUCAGGUAGGAAUACCCGCUGAACUUAAGCAUAUCAAUAAGCGGAGGAAAAGAAACCAACAGGGAUUGCCUCAGUAACGGCGAGUGAAGCGGCAACAGCUCAAAUUUGAAAUCUGGCCUCUUUGGGGUCCGAGUUGUAAUUUGGAGAGGAUGUUUCGGGUACGGUCCGGGCUUAAAUUUCUUGGAACAGAAUGUCACAGAGGGUGAGAAUCCCGUCUGGAGUCCGGACACGGCCUAUGUGAAACUCCUUCGACGAGUCGAGUUGUUUGGGAAU
RNAcentral lists this small RNA (885 nucleotides) under uncultured Cyphellophora. Its description in RNAcentral is "eukaryotic LSU rRNA". The stretch from base 604 to 885 matches the Rfam family "Eukaryotic large subunit ribosomal RNA", at positions 1 to 281 of the family's 3401-position model. The record is from RNAcentral. Lineage: Eukaryota; Fungi; Ascomycota; Eurotiomycetes; Chaetothyriales; Herpotrichiellaceae.